Long non-coding RNA from Cryptomeria japonica (Japanese cedar), 573 nucleotides. RefSeq lists it as uncharacterized. NCBI's taxonomy places the organism in Eukaryota, Viridiplantae, Streptophyta, Pinopsida, Cupressales, Cupressaceae. The record is from RefSeq and is a predicted model, not a curated record. The transcript has 3 exons.
AAAUUUAAUAAUGAAAUCCUUUUAUUGUUAUAAAUAUGUGUACAUGAAUUUACUUUUGCUAAGGAACGGUUUUUGGUGUAUUCUCCUUAUUGAAGGCAAAAAACACAUUAUUGGUGGCUUCACCCAGCAUAUUAUUGUAUAUAGUUUAAUUGUUAUGCUAAAUCAAGAUAAAAAUUGUGCUUUCAUAGACGAAGGACCUGGUACUAUAAAGGGAUACAUCUAUAAAAGGACUUUAUUUUUGCUAAGGAAGGCUUUAUGGUGUAUUCUCCUUACUGAAGACAAAAACACAUUAUUGGUGGCUUCACCCAGCAUAUUAUUGUAUAUAGUUUAAUUGGUAUGCUAAGUCAGGAUAACAAUUAUGUUUCCAUGGAUGAAGGACAUGACACUAUAAAAGGACUUUAUUUUUUCUAAGGAAGGCUUUUUGGUGCAUUCUCCUUAUUGAAGACAAAAACACAUUAUUGGUGGUUUCACCCAACAUAUUAUUGUAUAUAGUUUAAUUGUUAUGCUAAAUCAAGAUAAAAAUUGUGUUUCCAUAUAUGAAGGACCUGACACUAUAAAGGGAUACAUCUAUAA